This 840-nucleotide small RNA is filed under the name Pongo abelii (Sumatran orangutan). Its description in RNAcentral is "retained intron". Lineage: Eukaryota; Metazoa; Chordata; Mammalia; Primates; Hominidae. The record is from RNAcentral.
AUGAGCAGUGACCUGGCGGGGUUGGAGAUGUUGGGAGUGGAGACUGAUUUGAUGUCCCUAAACCUCCUGUGCCACGAGCAAUUGUGGAUGCAGAGGGAGGGGAGGACAGGGAGUGGAUAGAAGGAGACCCCAAGCUGAAUGGCCAGAAAGAAAUAAAUGCUUUAGAAUUCUCACGCUAAGCAAGUAGGGUUAAUUUCUGCUGGUGAUUUCUACUCUGUGGUGUUCUUUUGUUGUUUCAGUAACCAGAACACAUGAUGUUUUAAAGAAGGCAAGGACUAACUUAGAGGUGAAAUCCCUAAGGGCUCUGCCGUGUACUCCAGCCUUGUGACCCUUGCCUUCCAGGAACCACGCAAGAAGCGCAGCCACCAGAAGUCCUUAAAACAGCAGGAAAGGUGGGCCUGUCCCCCUUUUGUGCAGCUACCUAUCUGCUGAGGAGCAUGUGGGCCUCAUUCCUCCAAGUCCACUGGAGGGUCCAGAAGAGGGAGUCAGAGAUGUAUCCUUGCGGAGCUGGGAGAAAGGCAGAAAGCCUUUCUGACAGCUAUGGAAUACCAUUAGCCAAGGUCCACUUGGCCCAGCACUAAGCAAAAGAUGCGUAGUUUGCAUAGACGGUUUUGUGAUACUGCCUCUCAACAGCCCCAGCAGCUUGGGAACUAGCAACAGCACAUUUCUUGCCUCAUCAGCUGUCCUGAGAUGGAAAACUCAGUGGAUAUAGGACUCUGAUUCUGAUGAAUGGGGCACGUGGUCCCAAUGCUGGAGCUCCUCUGGCAGGUUCUAAAGGCACACUACUGAGCAGCGGUGCCCUGCCGGACACUGCUGGUGGGGGCUCAGUGAGCACUACUC